This 253-nucleotide ribosomal RNA is filed under the name uncultured bacterium. RNAcentral describes it as "partial 16S ribosomal RNA". It matches the Rfam family "Bacterial small subunit ribosomal RNA", at positions 524 to 776 of the family's 1533-position model. The record is from RNAcentral.
UACGUAGGGUGCAAGCGUUGUCCGGAAUUAUUGGGCGUAAAGAGCUCGUAGGCGGUUUGUUGCGUCGGCUGUGAAAACCCGAGGCUCAACCUCGGGCCUGCAGUCGAUAUGGGCAAACUAGAGUACUGCAGGGGAGACUGGAAUUCCUGGUGUAGCGGUGAAAUGCGCAGAUAUCAGGAGGAACACCGGUGGCGAAGGCGGGUCUCUGGGCAGUAACUGACGCUGAGGAGCGAAAGCGUGGGGAGCGAACAGG